AACAAACAAUUUGGUCACCAGAGACAUGCUUGAAGCAGCUUUGUCAUAAUUUUGAGUGUUGUCUCCAUGGGGAUCCCCCAUCAAACGCCUGCUCCAACACAUCUUCCAUUCGCUUGGCCAGCAGAAUCUGGUGAGGGAAGAUGGUCAAUUGUUUUCUCAGUUGCCUUAUUUAUAUGUUUGAGACAAAAAAUCCGAUCAAUGGGAAAAAUGUUAUCACUAAUGCAAGCACUCAAAUCAUUCUUAGGUGUCAUCCAGAUUCUAGUUCGAAAAAGAAUGCCUGAAUCCCCCAGUAAUUGCCAAAACUUAUGGGCAAACAGAACCAAAUUCAAACUACAUGUUAAGAUGCUGACUGAAAAUAUAGAAGUGCAGAGAUAUUAGAGUAAUGUUUGCUUCAAAUACGUGGGAAAAAAUACCUCUAGGUUGGAAAGCACAGACGCAGGUACUUCAACUAAGUCCUUUAGAUUUCUCUCUGGUAGAAUAACUCUCUUGAUACCAUGACGGUGUGCUGCUAGUAUCUGCACAAUUGAUAUUCGGGGAAAAAAUGUUGAAAAGAAUGAGAAAUAAAAGCAGUUUCAGUCAAUCUUUUUGUUAUUGCAUAUUCUAUGACGAGAAAAGAUUUUGAUCAAACAUAAGCAAAUAUUAUUAUCGAUGAUGAACAUAUUAUUCUCUUGCUAUAUAUAUACACAGUAGCUCAUGAAAUAAAACACACCUUAUCCUUAAUACCACCGACAGGUAACACAAGACCUCUCAGUGUCAUUUCUCCAGUCAUUGCGGUAUCUGCUCUUACACAUUUCUGACUAAACAAAGAAACCAGUGCCGUUACAAGCGUCACACCGGCUGAUGGCCCAUCCUUUGGUACAGCCCCAGCUGGAAAAUGUAUAUGAAUAUCUC
RNAcentral lists this long non-coding RNA (891 nucleotides) under Gossypium barbadense (sea-island cotton). RNAcentral describes it as "long non-coding RNA (GBAR_LNC018749)". The record is from RNAcentral. Lineage: Eukaryota; Viridiplantae; Streptophyta; Magnoliopsida; Malvales; Malvaceae.